Molecule: long non-coding RNA, 374 nt
Organism: Acanthopagrus latus (yellowfin seabream)
Lineage: Eukaryota; Metazoa; Chordata; Actinopteri; Spariformes; Sparidae
Exons: 3
Source: RefSeq, a predicted model, not a curated record
UAAUCAGAAGCUAUUGGGAGCACCUGUGAUGUUCUCGCUCAGCUGGCUGCAAUCAGUCAGCUCAGAGUCUAUAUAAGGGGGUUGCAGUUCCCCCACUCAGCUGGUUGUGUGUUUGCAGGGAGUCGACACCAUCAGUUGGCUCUCUGCGUUCUCCGUUUGGCUGAAAAACUGAUGAGGGGGAUGGAAUUCGGGAGGAAUGUUGUUGUUGAAAACAUUUGGGAUAAUAUAUAAUCAUUUUUUCAGCACAGAAAUGUUCCAGCUCAGGCUUUCCUUCGGUUGCCAGCGAUUGUCUUCGGUUUUACGAGCACCGCCGACAUGUGAAUGCAGGCUGACACCUGUCUUUGCAGGGCUGUAAUGAGGAGGAGGAAGAGGAG